RNAcentral lists this ribosomal RNA (550 nucleotides) under uncultured bacterium. Its description in RNAcentral is "bacterial SSU rRNA". It matches the Rfam family "Bacterial small subunit ribosomal RNA", at positions 355 to 896 of the family's 1533-position model. The record is from RNAcentral.
UAGGGAAUCUUCGGCAAUGGACGGAAGUCUGACCGAGCAACGCCGCGUGAGUGAAGAAGGUUUUCGGAUCGUAAAGCUCUGUUGUAAGAGAAGAACGAGUGUGAGAGUGGAAAGUUCACACUGUGACGGUAUCUUACCAGAAAGGGACGGCUAACUACGUGCCAGCAGCCGCGGUAAUACGUAGGUCCCGAGCGUUGUCCGGAUUUAUUGGGCGUAAAGCGAGCGCAGGCGGUUAGAUAAGUCUGAAGUUAAAGGCUGUGGCUUAACCAUAGUACGCUUUGGAAACUGUUUAACUUGAGUGCAAGAGGGGAGAGUGGAAUUCCAUGUGUAGCGGUGAAAUGCGUAGAUAUAUGGAGGAACACCGGUGGCGAAAGCGGCUCUCUGGCUUGUAACUGACGCUGAGGCUCGAAAGCGUGGGGAGCGAACGGGAUUAGAUACCCCGGUAGUCCUGGCCGUAAACGAUGGGUACUAGGUGUAGGAGGUAUCGACCCCUUCUGUGCCGGAGUUAACGCAAUAAGUACCCCGCCUGGGGAGUACGACCGCAAGGUUG